This 493-nucleotide long non-coding RNA is filed under the name Rattus norvegicus (Norway rat). RNAcentral's name for it is "long non-coding RNA NONRATT003296". The record is from RNAcentral. Lineage: Eukaryota; Metazoa; Chordata; Mammalia; Rodentia; Muridae.
UGAGAUGCAACCCAGAAGUCUUUCCAUAAGUCAGUUACUUCUGUGAGCCAUUGAAGGGGCAGGGCAUAGAGAGGACACUCAGAAUUUGUUCGCCUAUAGUUUUCUACUGAAACCCAUGCCCAGCUGUCAGGAUGGCUCCAUGGGAUGUGAAAUCCCCCCAAAUUCUCUCAUCUUCUCCUUUGCAAACAUGAUGGAAAGGGCCUGUGAGAUUCUAGAAGUGCACAGUGCAGUAGUGGCUGAAGCAAGAGAUACCUGUGGCCACUGAGGAUGGACUGUCACAGAUAAGAGGGACCAAGCCUAGCUGUAGAGCUUACAGCUGUGAGAGUCUAGUUGGCCCAGGAGGAUACAAGCAUCCUGUCUGCUGAAAGUGAAGUCAUGGAGCAUCAGCAAGAGGCCCCCUCAUCCCUUAAGGCCAUCAGAGUUUAAGAUCACCUUCCCAUCCUCCACCUACCACAUUUGCAGCUCCUGCUGAAAUACGACUUGACAGCGGCCG